RNAcentral lists this ribosomal RNA (499 nucleotides) under uncultured Glomeromycotina. Its description in RNAcentral is "partial small subunit ribosomal RNA". It matches the Rfam family "Eukaryotic small subunit ribosomal RNA", at positions 591 to 1092 of the family's 1831-position model. Lineage: Eukaryota; Fungi; Glomeromycota. The record is from RNAcentral.
CCAAUAGCGUAUAUUAAAGUUGUUGCAGUUAAAAAGCUCGUAGUUGAAUUUCGAGAUCAAUAUGUCGGUCGUGCUUAGGUACGUACUGGCAUUAUUGAUUUCUCCUUUCUGAUGAACCAUAAUGUCAUUAAUUUGGUGUUAUGGGGAAUCAGGACUGUUACCUUGAAAAAAUUAGAGUGUUUAAAGCAGGCUCACGCUUGAAUACAUUAGCAUGGAAUAAUGAAAUAGGACGUUUGAUUCUAUUUUGUUGGUUUCUAGGAUCGACGUAAUGAUUAAUUGGGAUAGUUGGGGGCAUUAGUAUUAAAUUGUCAGAGGUGAAAUUCUUGGAUUUAUUGAGGACUAACUACUGCGAAAGCAUUUGCCAAGGAUGUUUUCAUUAAUCAAGAACGAAAGUUAGGGGAUCGAAGACGAUCAGGUACCGUCGUAGUCUUAACCAUAAACUAUGCCGACUAGGGAUCGGAUGAUGUUAAUUUUUUAAUGACUCAUUCGGCGCCUUACG